CUACAUCAAUGUGAAUUCAAAGCGUGUACCUGGAAACAGAUCACAAUAGAAGAAGAGGAGGUCAGCGGUAAGUAACAACUACUGGAAUCCAACCAGUCACAAACAACAACAAUAGGAGUGUUUUUGAACAAAAAUACAACUUCACAAGACCUAGGAAAGCAUCACAGAAAGUGUAGCACUCAACAGAUGACCAAACAUAAGUUGAUUGAACCCAGAAAACAACUCAAAAUUAGACCAGCAGAUCCUUGAAACUACAGCAAUCAGAGACUGAACUAGAGGAUGUAAAUCAAUAACCAUAAGUCGAAAUUAAUCCAAGGCUUUU
This 322-nucleotide long non-coding RNA is filed under the name Nicotiana benthamiana. Its description in RNAcentral is "long non-coding RNA (NBEN_LNC021448)". Lineage: Eukaryota; Viridiplantae; Streptophyta; Magnoliopsida; Solanales; Solanaceae. The record is from RNAcentral.